Pelobates cultripes (western spadefoot toad) is the source of this 286-nucleotide non-coding RNA. The record is from the annotation of a GenBank genome assembly. Lineage: Eukaryota; Metazoa; Chordata; Amphibia; Anura; Pelobatidae.
CUUUGCCACAAACACAAUGCAUAAAGGCUACAGGCAGACCCCCAUACAAACAACACAUUUCAAGCAGCUACCCCAUACACAUCCGGUCCCAGAAAAAAAUGCAAACAGAAGGAUACUCUCACACUCAGAAGGAUACUCUCUGUCAGACACACUCUCAGGCACAUACACAGUUAAACUUUGCAUCAAUGUGUAUAUGUGACAGUGAGCAUGUAUUUCACUUUUUUGUUAGCGGGGCCUCAUGUUUGAGUUUCAAUAAAGUCUAGAGCCACCUCUGAUUCUGUCUCCC